This 427-nucleotide ribosomal RNA is filed under the name uncultured bacterium. Its description in RNAcentral is "bacterial SSU rRNA". It matches the Rfam family "Bacterial small subunit ribosomal RNA", at positions 354 to 796 of the family's 1533-position model. The record is from RNAcentral.
GUGGGGAAUAUUGGGCAAUGGGCGCAAGCCUGACCCAGCAACGCCGCGUGAAGGAAGAAGGCUUUCGGGUUGUAAACUUCUUUUAAGAGGGAAGAGCAGAAGACUGUACCUCUAGAAUAAGCCACGGCUAACUACGUGCCAGCAGCCGCGGUAAUACGUAGGUGGCAAGCGUUGUCCGGAUUUACUGGGUGUAAAGGGCGUGCAGCCGGGAAUGCAAGUCAGAUGUGAAAUCCAUGGGCUUAACCCAUGAACUGCAUUUGAAACUGUAUUUCUUGAGUACUGGAGAGGCAAUCGGAAUUCCUAGUGUAGCGGUGAAAUGCGUAGAUAUUAGGAGGAACACCAGUGGCGAAGGCGGAUUGCUGGACAGCAACUGACGGUGAGGCGCGAAAGUGUGGGGAGCAAACAGGAUUAGAAACCCCAGUAGUCC